RNAcentral lists this ribosomal RNA (687 nucleotides) under uncultured bacterium. RNAcentral's name for it is "bacterial SSU rRNA". It matches the Rfam family "Bacterial small subunit ribosomal RNA", at positions 8 to 690 of the family's 1533-position model. The record is from RNAcentral.
AGAGUUUGAUCAUGGCUCAGAUUGAACGCUGGCGGUAGGCUUAACACAUGCAAGUCGUGCGAGAAAGUAUCUUCGGAUAUGAGUAAAGCGGCGGACGGGUGAGUAACGCGUAGGAAUCUACCUAGUAGAAGGGGAUAGCCCGGGGAAACCCGGAUUAAUACCGUAUACCUCCUUCGGGAGAAAGAAGGCCUCUCUUUGAAGCUUUCGCUAUUAGAUGAGCCUGCGUAAGAUUAGCUUGUUGGUGAGGUAAAGGCUCACCAAGGCUACGAUCUUUAGCUGGUCUGAGAGGACGAUCAGCCACAUUGGGACUGAGACACGGCCCAGACUCCUACGGGAGGCAGCAGUGGGGAAUAUUGGACAAUGGGCGCAAGCCUGAUCCAGCCAUACCGCGUGUGUGAAGAAGGCCUUCGGGUUGUAAAGCACUUUAAGCAGGGAGAAAAAGUUAUAAGUUAAUACCUUAUAACCGUGAUGUUACCUGCAGAAUAAGCACCGGCUAAUUCCGUGCCAGCAGCCGCGGUAAUACGGAAGGUGCAAGCGUUAAUCGGAAUUACUGGGCGUAAAGCGCGCGUAGGUGGUUUGUUAAGUUGGAUGUGAAAGCCCUGGGCUCAACCUAGGAACUGCAUCCAAAACUAACUCACUAGAGUACGAUAGAGGGAGGUAGAAUUCAUAGUGUAGCGGUGGAAUGCG